This 274-nucleotide ribosomal RNA is filed under the name uncultured bacterium. RNAcentral's name for it is "partial 16S ribosomal RNA". It matches the Rfam family "Bacterial small subunit ribosomal RNA", at positions 523 to 796 of the family's 1533-position model. The record is from RNAcentral.
CUACGGAGGGUGCGAGCGUUGUUCGGAAUCACUGGGCGUAAAGGGCGCGCAGGCGGUUUGUCAAGUCAGAUGUGAAAGGCCACGGCUCAACCGUGGAGGUGCAUCUGAAACUGGCAGACUUGAGUACCGGAGGGGAAAGUGGAAUUCCCGGUGUAGAGGUGAAAUUCGUAGAUAUCGGGAGGAACACCGGAGGCGAAGGCGACUUUCUGGACGGAUACUGACGCUGAGGCGCGAAAGCGUGGGGAGCAAACAGGAUUAGAAACCCUAGUAGUCC